RNAcentral lists this ribosomal RNA (174 nucleotides) under uncultured bacterium. RNAcentral's name for it is "partial 16S ribosomal RNA". It matches the Rfam family "Bacterial small subunit ribosomal RNA", at positions 338 to 524 of the family's 1533-position model. The record is from RNAcentral.
CCUAGGGGAGGCAGCAGUAGGGAAUAUUGGGCAAUGGAGGAAACUCUGACCCAGCGACGCCGCGUGAGGGAUGAAGGCCUUCGGGUUGUAAACCUCUUUCAGUAGGGAAGAAGCGAAAGUGACGGUACCUAAAGAAGAAGCACCGGCUAACUAUGUGCCAGCAGCCGCGGUAAU